AUUAAACAUUUUCUUCCAUUCAAUUUGCUGAACUCUUAAUCUAUUAGGUUAUUUAUAACAUCACCCGGAUUUGUAUGGAUGAGAAUUACCACGAUUUUCUACUCAAGGUGGGAGAUUGAACAUCCUUAAAUUAUCUUUCAGGAAGCCACAAUCCAAGAUGAAGACCCAGAGAGGAGUGCGAAUCCUGCCCUUUCCACAGGAGCUUGGUGGGGCUGAAGGUCACAGUGGGCUGGCCUCUCCUUACUGCAGCAGCCAGGCACAUGACUCAGAGUAUCCCUUGGCAUGGCUACAAGGAUUGGUUCAGAAACGGGCACAUGGACCAGUUUCAGCCAAACCCUGACGGCCUCCUCUGAAAUGUUUCGGUUGGAGUUUGCCAUUUUCUUCUGGAGUUGCUACACAGAGAGGCUGGGGCUGGCAGCCAUGGAAGUCACCUUGGAGGGACACAGGCUGAAGAAGGAAGCCAAGCUAGAUCAGAAGAGGUGAGAGCUCACAUCUUAUACUGAGGAUGUGACAAGCCCCAGGACCUGACGGAACCACGCAAAUGUGGGAAAGAGCAUUUGAAGUGACAGACACCAAGCACCUGCCCCGUUUUUGGAAAGCAGAUUGUAAGUUGGAAAUUGUCUGCACUUUCAAGGAAGGAAAAAUUCGCAGUCUUUCCAGCUCCAAAUGCUGGCGUGGUGGAAGCUUCAUCUCUGACGAUGCAGAGCCUCCCUCACUCCCUCUUGGUGCAAUGGUAAGUUCUGUGGACCAGAGUGGAUCAGUUCCUUAGUCGACUGUCCGCUGGGGAGUCCUCUGGGAUUUCCAUAAACUGCAUUGGUCCCUUUUUAUUUUCUUACAGCAGUGAUAGUCUUAUUUGUUUAUUUUUUUCUUAUGGGUCCCUUGGAGUCUAGUGGCUGAAGGUCCCUAAGCUUGAGGCCAUACAGGGAUGUGGGGAUUUAGAGGGACACAGCCCAUGAGCCUCUGCCCAAGAAGUUGAACAGGUGAAGAGAAAACACGUGUGUGUGUGCGUGUGUGUGUGUGUGUGUGUGUGUGUGUGUGUUCCUUCUGAGCCCCAUGGAGGAUGAUGCACUUAAUCUUUCUUACUCUUAGCUCAGCUCAGGAGACCUUUCCACCCUCAAGGAAAUCCUUCCCUCUCUUGAUUUGUUAUAUUUUCCUCAGAGGCAGCCGCUUGAUCUCUUAAUAGGUUUAAGUUCUUGGAACCACAAAUCCCAGGAGAUUCCGCUGCUUAAAACCAUUCCCUGGGGCAGAGGGCCCCUGGGCUGCUCUUCACUUGGAUGAGAGGAGAGGGCGAGAUUUCCAUGAGGUCAAUUCAAAGAAAAUCGUGUCUCCAAAACAUUAUUUCGCCACAGGAACGGAAGAAUGAAGAGAGAUUAGCCACGGAGUAAGGCAUAAAUUGGGGCCGGACUGUGCAGCAGUACAUGAAUGAGAAAGUCCUUCAUUAGGGAAAAGCUGUCUGAGUUACCAUCUUUAACCAACCCCAUCUGAGUGCUUCUCUGUGCUGAGUGGGCGCGUCUGGUCCCACACCCCGUGGCCUUGAAGGAUGAUUCAAAGAUGCCCACUGCUCCUGUGUGGGCUUGGAGGGGCUGACCUCUCUUCCUUUGGUACCUACAGAUGUCACCUCAUCAGGAACCACCAUGUUGAAAGUGGGGCUGUGUCACCCUCCCCCAGUGGCAGGGAGUCUUUUAAGGUCUGCAUGGCUGAGACAAUAUGGUCGUAUAGGCUCCCUCAGUGGAACACGUGCAGGUUUGGAGGUUCUGCUGUUUUCUGUUCCUGUCACAAUCUACUACCAAUGGCAAACAUCCAAAAGGGUGAAAGGUGUUCAGAACAGGAUUAAAUGAUGUGCUGUCUUGUAGAUACGCCAUCACUGCUGUUCGCUGGACAGCUCUGAGCUUGAAGUUUCUUUUUUUUCUUUUUAGGGCUGUACCCGCAAGCAUAUGGAGGGUCCCAGACUAGGGAUUGAAUCGGAGCUGUAGCUGCUGGCCUACACCACAGCCACAGCAAUGCCGGAUCCUUAACCCACUGAGUGAGGCCAGGGAUCGAACCCGCAACCUCAUGGUUCCUAGUCGAAUUUGUUUCCCCUGCACCAGAAUGGGAACUCCUGAGCUUGAGUUUUCCAUGCAAAGAAGUGUUUCCUCCUCUUCUUGUCUGUUCCUCUCUCUUUAUCCGCCUGCUUCUUUCCUUUCCCCUUGGGAGACUAUUGACUAUGUUUCUGACCUGGUACCUUCUGUGAUGAUGGAACAUAUCACAGCCUGGGGCCUCUUUAAGACCGUGUCCCAGCUUGCCUGGUAUGAAAACGAACACCCGUCUUUCUCCCCUCCUUCAAUUUUCAGGUAUGCUGCAUUCAGAGCAUCUUCUUGGUACGAUAAGAAAAGAAUAAACAACAUAAAGGGGAAAAGUUCUUCUGACCUGCCUGUGUCCGUUGAUAAAACAGCAUUUAGUCCCAGGAUUUUGAAGGUUGUGAUGAUGAGGUUGAGGCAUUUGAAAAAAUGUUAAGCUGGCAACAGGGUCAUGGGACAUCAAAGCUGCUGUUUCAGGGGAGUCAUUAUACAGUUUUUAAAGCACUUUGUAGAUGUAUCUGUUAGUUCAUUUGGGCUUCGCAACAACCUACAGAAAUAGAUAAGACAGGUUUUUCCUGUUUUAUGAAUGAAGAGAUUGCAGCUAAGGGAUUUGCUUCAGGUCACAUAAGUAGUCAAUGGUAGACCUGGAACUUUAGCGCAAAUCUUCUGAUUCCAAGGCCUCUGAUGCACAGUGUUAACUAGAGGGACACAGAUUUAUUUCUUCAUUCAAGUCUUUGCUGGAUAAUCUUGUGUAAGUGGGUUAACACAAUAGACUAAUUUUGACAGAUUUCAUAUCCUUAAAAUGCCAGUAGUUUGGCUUAUAUGGUAACUGGGGUGCACACCUGUUGAAUUUGCCUUCUUAGCAUUCAGGUCCCUUAUUUCUGAUAACAAAAUGCUGAUUUUCCUCGGAGGACCAAACCUUCCCUGUUAUCUGUAGAUGUGGUGGGACAAUACCCUGUCUCCUCACCAGCCUAGGGCUGGGCAGGAUCUCUUGGCUCUGACUUGGGAAUUUGCAUCUUCAGCUGGUGACUUGAUGGGAAAAAUUUCCCCAUUCUAUGUCAGAAUCUCCCAGAGAUUUUAUUAGGUUUCUAUUACCUACAUCUUUGGAGACUUCCUGGUCCUAAUACUUUCUGAGGCCUGUUUGCUCAUAUCUUUCUUUGAUUUUAGGAACUUCUUCAAACCCUUCCAAGGAAUUCCUUUGGUGAUUAGGUUUGCCAGAUUGAUUUUAGUUAUUUACACCCCAAAGUCCCUAACUUAUGGACUUAUGAAAGAAAUCAAAAAGAGAAACAAUAUCUAUAUCUAGCUAGCUAGCUAGCUAGGUAAUUGUUGGUGGCAGGUUUAACUAUUGUCGGAUGUACUCCCUUUUCACGUUUCCAUAGAAGAAGUAAACUUUCUCAUUCUGUUAAUAUUGGACUUGGCCAUGUGAUUGUCUUUGGCUUCAGAGUGGGCAGAGAAUAUUUCCCUACCCCUUGAUCUUGGGUGUAAAAUGGGAUUUGAUUGGGCUAAUGAGAUAUUAGCAGGUAUGACUCAACAGAGGCUGGAAUUGCUCUUGCCUUCUGCUGUUGCCGUGAAAAGAACAUUCCCAGACUCAUCCAUAGGUUCCAGGAGAAGGAUGAGAAAUGCAAAGUGCAGAUCCACUCAGCUGAGCUGCCCCAGCCUAGAUCAGCAGAUCCCCAGCCAAUCCACAGAUACGUGAACUCAAUAAAUGUUUAUUGUUGCA
This 3777-nucleotide long non-coding RNA is filed under the name Sus scrofa (pig). RNAcentral's name for it is "lncRNA (ENSSSCG00040044517.1)". Lineage: Eukaryota; Metazoa; Chordata; Mammalia; Artiodactyla; Suidae. The record is from RNAcentral.